CAGCCGCCGCGGUAAUACAGAGGGUGCAAGCGUUAAUCGGAAUUACUGGGCGUAAAGCGCGCGUAGGUGGUUUGUUAAGUUGAAUGUGAAAUCCCCGGGCUCAACCUGGGAACUGCAUCCAAAACUGGCAAGCUAGAGUAGGGCAGAGGGUGGUGGAAUUUCCUGUGUAGCGGUGAAAUGCGUAGAUAUAGGAAGGAACACCAGUGGCGAAGGCGACCACCUGGGCUCAUACUGACACUGAGGUGCGAAAGCGUGGGGAGCAAACAGGAUUAGAGACCCCUGUAGUCCCUGUCUCUUAUAC
This 301-nucleotide ribosomal RNA is filed under the name uncultured bacterium. RNAcentral describes it as "partial 16S ribosomal RNA". It matches the Rfam family "Bacterial small subunit ribosomal RNA", at positions 509 to 807 of the family's 1533-position model. The record is from RNAcentral.